GCGAGUUCAACUCUCUAAAACCAUUGUGAACGAACUGCCAAACGUUGCUUCGGCGGGGUCUCCCGCCGACAGAACGCAAACUCUGUAAUUAUUGUAUCUCUGAGUAUACUUUUAAUAAGUUA
Molecule: unclassified non-coding RNA, 122 nt
Filed under: uncultured Ascomycota
Lineage: Eukaryota; Fungi; Ascomycota
Description: sequence contains ITS1
Source: RNAcentral